Molecule: unclassified non-coding RNA, 2052 nt
Filed under: Megachile rotundata (alfalfa leafcutting bee)
Lineage: Eukaryota; Metazoa; Arthropoda; Insecta; Hymenoptera; Megachilidae
Description: actin-interacting protein 1, transcript variant X1
Source: RNAcentral
UUUGAAUUGUUCCCGCCAUUUUCGUGUACUUACAUCCUGCUUAUUGAUGUGAACUGUACCUAUUUUCCAAAAAUGAAAAUAAGCCUUUAAGGUAGUUUGCUUUAUUCAAUAGUGAUUCGCUUAUCUAGUUUCGUGGUAAUCAAUGUUUCAGCUAAAUAAGGCAAGGGCGGAACAAGUAUUUCGCCGGAAAGUGUAUGGGGAGGAUGAUCGAGAUAGGUACGAAGGAGGAGGCAUUGUACCGAUUUACAUUGUGAAAUUUUUUGAAUCCUUAUUUAAAACAAGAGAACAGAAUAAACAUGUCUUAUGAAACAAAGUACAUAUUUGCCACAUUACCCAGAACACAAAGAGGACAACCUCUUGUAUUAGGGGGUGAUCCUAAAGGGAAAAACUUUUUAUACACUAAUGGCAAUAGUGUGAUUAUUAGAAAUAUUGAUAAUCCAGCUAUUGCUGACAUUUACACAGAACAUUCAUGCCCAGUUAAUGUUGCAAAAUAUUCUCCAAGUGGAUUUUACAUAGCAUCUGGUGAUCAGUCAGGUAAAGUACGUAUUUGGGAUACUGUUAACAAAGAACAUAUUUUGAAGAAUGAAUUCCAUCCUAUUGGAGGGCCCAUUAAAGAUAUAGCAUGGUCACCUGACAAUCAACGCAUGGUAGUAGUUGGAGAAGGAAGAGAAAGAUUUGGUCACGUAUUUAUGGCGGAAACUGGUACAUCUGUAGGUGAAAUUUCUGGGCAGAGUAAACCCAUCAAUUCAUGUGACUUUAGACCUGCAAGACCAUUUAGAUUAAUCACUGGAAGUGAAGACAAUACUAUUGCCGUUUUCGAAGGACCGCCGUUCAAAUUUAAAAUGACGAAGCAGGAACAUACACGAUUUGUUCAAGCUGUGCGUUAUUCACCUAGCGGCAAUUUGUUUGCAUCUGCAGGAUUCGAUGGAAAAGUGUUUAUUUAUGACGGUACAAGCUCCGAUUUAGUUGGAGAAGUCGGAUCUCCCGCUCAUCAAGGUGGAGUGUAUGGAGUAGCUUGGAAACCAGAUGGAACCCAGUUAUUAACUGCUUCUGGUGACAAAACAUGUAAACUUUGGGACGUAGAAACUCGCUCGUUGGUCAGCGAAUUUAACAUGGGAUCAACUGUCGAUGAUCAACAAGUCAGCUGUUUAUGGCAAGGAAAUCAUUUACUGUCUGUAUCUCUAAGCGGUUUUAUUAAUUAUCUUGAUGUUGACAAUCCCGCAAAACCGAUUAGAAUAAUAAAAGGACAUAAUAAACCAAUAACAGUAUUAACUUUAAGCUCUGAUAGAAGUACAAUUUAUACCGGAUCUCAUGACGGCUAUAUUACCAACUGGAAUGCAACUACUGGGGAAAAUGACCGUGUUCAAGGCCAUGGUCAUGGAAAUCAGAUUAAUGGAAUGAAAACUGCAAAGAACAUACUUUAUACUGUUGGCAUUGAUGACACUUUAAGAUCAGUUGAUAUCACUACAAACACGUAUACAGAAACAUGCGUGGUUAAACUAGACUCUCAACCACGGGGUUUAGACAUUUACAAUGAUAUAGUUGUAAUUGUAACUGUUCGACAGAUAACAGUCACACAGGAUGGUCGAAAAAUAUCAAGCGUGCCUAUUGAUUAUGAACCAUCUAGUGUAUCGAUAAACCAAGAAAAUGGUGAUGUGGCUGUAGGAGCUACAUCAGAUAAUUCAAUUCAUGUUUAUACGCUCUCAGGUACCAAUCUAUCUCCAAAAAUUCAAUUGGAACAUCUAGGUUCAGUAACUGAUGUCGCUUAUAGUCCUGAUAGCAAAUACUUGGUGGCUUGUGACACAAAUAGAAAAGUGGUUCUUUAUACUGUUUCGGAGUACAAGUGCAAUUAAAUAUCCAUUAUUAGCAAAGCAUACAUAACUGCUAGUAUCUGUGUACAUGUGUGUUUUUAUGUACAAAUUUGUUUGUAAAAAUUGCUCCACCUAAACGCUUGUUGGAUUUUUAGAGGCUUGCACACAAUAGAGAAUGGGGUUUUCAUAAUGCCAGAGUAAAUUCCGUGGCGUGGUGUCCUGAUUCGACUAUGGUCGCAAG